AGAGUUUGCAAUGAGGAUGACAGAAGCUCCCUCUUCUGAGGUUUUAAGGUGAGGAAUUCUGCUGGCAGAAUCGAACCUACAACUUUAAACGCCACAACUGAGUAA
Molecule: small nucleolar RNA, 105 nt
Organism: Juglans microcarpa x Juglans regia
Lineage: Eukaryota; Viridiplantae; Streptophyta; Magnoliopsida; Fagales; Juglandaceae
Product: small nucleolar RNA R30/Z108
Exons: 1
Source: RefSeq, a predicted model, not a curated record